AGCCAGCGCUAGAGUUUUUUGGGCAGAUACCAAGGCUCUUGUUGAAUAAUGUAUAUUCCCGACAAAGCAAUAGAUAUUAAUAUGGCGAAGAAAAUUAAUGAACAGUCGGAAAUCAAAGAAAACAAAGAGGCCAAUACAGUUUCUCAAAAAGGAGAACGCCUGUUACAGAUACAGGCCCGGAAUUUUUUUGUAAUCUAGGAAAAUGCACAUCAAAAAAACCCUAAAAGCGUACGAACCGAAAAAAAAAUUACUGUGGCUGAAUCUUAUAAUCAUCAAAAUUAAGUUGUAGGAGUUGGCUAAACUUUGGUUUCUGUUUUCUAUUGUACACAGGGUGAGUCUUUUUGAAUUUCUUUUUUUUCAAUUUUUAUUACAUUUCAUCCAUAUUUAAGAUGUGACAGAAAAGCGAUGGAUUCAAUUUCUGUAAUAUCUUACAGCUGAAUUACUAUAGAAUGUAGAAAUAAGUGAUAUUUUACACAUUUCAGUUUGAAAUAUCAAUCAAGCCAUUUCAUAUGGCUUUUCUAUGAUAAUAAAAAUUUAAAAAAUAGUGUCAAUAGGAGAUCUUAUAUAAACAUAAUUAAGAAGAAUCGAAAAUAUUGCCACUCCUUUCCUAAUUUUUUCCAGUUCAAGAAUUUUGAAUGAAGAUGGUCGAAGAAGACGAUAUCAUUGCUAUAUUUCAAAUCGUUUUGUAAAAAAGUCAAGAUUUAUUGAAAUUAUAAAUUUCACCCAAUAUCCGAAAUUCACUCUGUAUAUAACUCCAGGUUUUGAGAUUCAAAGGAAUUUUCUGAUAUCGAUAUUUAAUAUUUUGAUCCACUUUUUUUUUGAUAAAUUGAAAGUUCCGUUCAAUGAAAUCAUUCAAUAUUCCAUAUUGAUAAACAACCUUUAUAUCCAAGUAAUGAUUUAUUCAGAUAUUACUGCACUGCAUCGACCGAUAAGUGCCAUUUGAAUUUUUAUUCAAAAAUGGUUCAACUAAUCUCAUAAAUUCGGCAUUUUUUAUCUCUUUAUCAUCCAUUUUAUUGACUCGUAUUAUAAAUAUCUCAGCAAAUCUUGAACAUGCAACAGUGUUCAUCAAAGUUAUAUCCAGCUGAAAUACUCAUAAUAUUUUGAUCGAUAUGAAGAUUACCAUCCUUGCUAUUUUCUUCGUGAUGUUUCUUUUUGAAGCAUUCUCCUCUCCUACCGAACCGAAAGAGGGAAUUCUUCAUAGACUUCGCAGAUCCUUCUGUGGCGACACUGCAUGUGCUUUAGGCUGCACUCGCUAUGACUUCAAGGGAGGAUAUUGUAACGAGUAUGGAGGUUGUGUCUGUUCACAUGAAGAUAGAUUUGCAAUAAAAACAUAAAAUAUAAUUUUGUAUUUAUGAUAUACCCGUUAACUCUUGUUAAAUUUACUCGGAUUUACUCUUUUGUUCUUUAUCCAUAUAUCACAUUUUCUGCAAUAGACCUGAAAAAGCAAAA
Molecule: long non-coding RNA, 1449 nt
Organism: Harmonia axyridis
Lineage: Eukaryota; Metazoa; Arthropoda; Insecta; Coleoptera; Coccinellidae
Exons: 2
Source: RefSeq, a predicted model, not a curated record